CUUGUGGGUUGUCUCUGAUAUGAAGUACUUUCUCUUCUGAGAUCAGUUUAAAUAGCAGCACUCGCUGAGAAGUGAAAGUUUGUGGAGCAGAGCAGGCAGAACAGGAGGACCAGCUCACAGUGCUGACUCUCUUACUGCUGUUAUUACACUGUAACGGUAAGCGCUGUUUUUAUUCUCUCUCAACCUCACACACACACACACACACACACACACACACACACACGCACACACACACACACACGCUGUAGGACCUUUAAUAUUACUGUGCACUCUGUGAUGAUCUGAAAGCAGUGUUGUCUACAGAAAAAUAAGACAUUCCAAAAACACUAAUAAUAAUAAUAAUAAUAAUAAUAAUAAUAAUAAUAAUAAUAAUAAUAGGCCAGUAUUCAGAAGUUCUUCUGAUCUGUGUUUAAGAAUGUAGUGAUGGACAGAGGGUCCAGAGGUCUGAAGGGGUUAACAGUAUUAAAUUCUUUCACACUGAUUUCACUCACACCUUGUUUUGUGAACUGGGGCCGGUCAUCUGGGCUUAGGGAGAGACGUUUCUGAACUGCUUGCCAAAUCCAGGCUCAUCAGAGUAACUGUUCUCACCCCAGAGAACACGCCUCCAUUAGUCGAGUGGUGGCGUGCUUCACAUCACUACAUCCAACGCUUUCCAUUGUGUUUAAAAUGAUGUGUAAGACUUGAAUGGAGCUAUUAUUAUUUUCCUGUUUUCCAGUUGUAGUUUCCAGAAUGGUCCGGGCCCUGAUCUGGACGUGUCUUCUUCUGUGUGCGAUGGUUCAUAUCACAGUCUGUUUUAAUAAUGACAAAGAGAUUCACUGUCCUAACAUAACAGCUACUGUCGGAGAAAACGUAACACUGACCUGCAAUGUUUCAAAAAACGGCAAUUGUUCAAAGUAUAAAUGGAUUAAGAAUGAAACAAAAAACGGCACUUGUUCAAAGUAUAAAUGGAAGAAUGAAACAAAAAAUGAACUUGAAGUGAAAAAAUGCAGCUCAGUUAAUGAUAGAAAAUUUAAUUACACAAUUAAGAAUGCAUCCAUGACAGACAAUGGGACUUAUAAAUUUUGGAUACAGCUGACCACUAAUUCUCUUUACACAUUCUUCACUGUAAAUAUAUCAGGUACUUUUCCUUUAUAUUUAGAUAUGUAGAUAUGUCUGUGUUUGUGCAGUGCUAACUGUUAAAUAAUCACACUGUUUUGCUGUAUAAUGUUGUGCAGCUGUUUUACACUAAUGUGACAAAAGUCAUGAGACAGACAGACAGACACAUAGAUUUGCCUGUGGAUCAGUAAACUUUAAAAUAUUUUUUUACACUCACACAAUCACAUCUUUGUAUACAGAGGUAUCAAGUAAUGAAUUACAAAUACUUUAUCUUACUAAAGUAGAAAUGUUGUUUAUCUAUACUUUACUGGAGUAAAUACUUUUCCCAUGACUUUUUACAUUUACUCCUUACAUUUUCUUAAAAUCUUAAAAUAGUAUCAUUACUCUUAUUUAAUUUCAGCUUGUUUUCAUUCCGGCUUCUCAUCAUUAAAAACACAAACCUUAUCCAGAUAAAUCUCUCCAUCCAGAUAGAGUGAAUCUGAUUGUGAUUGGAUGUAGAGAAGUAUAAACAUAUACCAUUCUGACUCUCUAUUGGUUUAUACUGUGAUCCAUCACACCGGCACACGCCCCCACCCCCCCACACACACACCAUUUCAGCAAGAACGUAUGUAGCCUAGUAUGAAGAUGAUCUGUACAGAGACUUAGGAGAACUCCAGAUAAACUCCAGACCAACUAAACUACUUAAAUAUAUUAACAUUCUACUAAAAUACAUUCAUUUACAAUGAGCAUAUACUGAAACAGGGAGCCUAGCCUACUUUUCACACCUUUGCUCCUAUGCCCUGUUGGCCACAGUGUGUAGAUUAAAAUAGAUAAUCAUUGUUUCACCAUGGACGGUGGAUUAUGAGGUCUAACUGUUUGUUAAUAAUCCAGUGAAAGAAAGAUAAUUAUUGGCUUUUUCUUUCUUUAAUUCACAGAUAUUCCUUCCAAUAAUUCCACAGGUACAGUAUUUUCUCCAUUAUCUACUUCAUUAAUCACAUUCACAUUAAGAUGGGUAUCCCAUUUACAGUUAAUGGUAACACUUUAUAGUAUGGUAAAUAGUAAAUUACAUGAUAUUAAUUAAGGCAUUCAUUAGGGAUGAACUCAUCAGUAAGGGUGCAAUAAAAAGGAACAAAUGAAUGAAUCUUGUAUUAAU
RNAcentral lists this long non-coding RNA (2227 nucleotides) under Astyanax mexicanus (Mexican tetra). Its description in RNAcentral is "lncRNA (ENSAMXG00005008793.1)". The record is from RNAcentral. Lineage: Eukaryota; Metazoa; Chordata; Actinopteri; Characiformes; Acestrorhamphidae.